RNAcentral lists this ribosomal RNA (682 nucleotides) under Salmonella enterica. RNAcentral describes it as "partial 23S ribosomal RNA". It matches the Rfam family "Bacterial large subunit ribosomal RNA", at positions 2261 to 2925 of the family's 2925-position model. Lineage: Bacteria; Pseudomonadati; Pseudomonadota; Gammaproteobacteria; Enterobacterales; Enterobacteriaceae. RNAcentral also lists the same sequence under 7 other names. The record is from RNAcentral.
GUGGGUAGUUUGACUGGGGCGGUCUCCUCCUAAAGAGUAACGGAGGAGCACGAAGGUUGGCUAAUCCUGGUCGGACAUCAGGAGGUUAGUGCAAUGGCAUAAGCCAGCUUGACUGCGAGCGUGACGGCGCGAGCAGGUGCGAAAGCAGGUCAUAGUGAUCCGGUGGUUCUGAAUGGAAGGGCCAUCGCUCAACGGAUAAAAGGUACUCCGGGGAUAACAGGCUGAUACCGCCCAAGAGUUCAUAUCGACGGCGGUGUUUGGCACCUCGAUGUCGGCUCAUCACAUCCUGGGGCUGAAGUAGGUCCCAAGGGUAUGGCUGUUCGCCAUUUAAAGUGGUACGCGAGCUGGGUUUAGAACGUCGUGAGACAGUUCGGUCCCUAUCUGCCGUGGGCGCUGGAGAACUGAGGGGGGCUGCUCCUAGUACGAGAGGACCGGAGUGGACGCAUCACUGGUGUUCGGGUUGUCAUGCCAAUGGCACUGCCCGGUAGCUAAAUGCGGAAGAGAUAAGUGCUGAAAGCAUCUAAGCACGAAACUUGCCCCGAGAUGAGUUCUCCCUGAGACUUUAAGUCUCCUGAAGGAACGUUGAAGACGACGACGUUGAUAGGCCGGGUGUGUAAGCGCAGCGAUGCGUUGAGCUAACCGGUACUAAUGAACCGUGAGGCUUAACCUUACAACGCCGAAG